GAUGAAGAACGUAGCGAAAUGCGAUAAGUAGUGUGAAUUGCAGAAUUCAGUGAUCAUCGAAUCUUUGAACGCACAUUGCGCCCCUUGGUAUUCCAUGGGGCAUGCCUGUUCGAGCGUCAUUUGUACCUUCAAGCUUUGCUUGGUGUUGGGUGUUUGUCCAUUCUCUUGCAGAGGGACUCGCCUUAAAGUAAUUGGCAGCCAGUGUUUUGGUUUUGAAGCGCAGCACAAGUCGCGAUUCAAAGCUAUACGCCCGCUUCCACAAGCCUUUUUCACUUUUGACCUCGGAUCAGGUAGGGAUACCCGCUGAACUUAAGCAUAUCAAUAAGCGGAGGA
Molecule: unclassified non-coding RNA, 333 nt
Filed under: soil metagenome
Description: partial contains 5.8S ribosomal RNA, internal transcribed spacer 2, and large subunit ribosomal RNA
Rfam family: 5.8S ribosomal RNA (bases 1-119)
Source: RNAcentral